GUUUUAGUAAUCCUGUGCUUAGCUAGCUUCACCACGGCAAAAUUGCCCUUACCGAUAGUCCUUUCGAUAUCAUAGAAACCGACCCGAAUAGGAUUCUUCGUUAUCCUUUCGCGCUCGCCCAUUUUUGAGAUUUUAUGACUAAAAGUGCUAGUGAUUCAACUCAACGCACGCCGACAUCUACGAACUAUUCAACAAUUUUAUUGCUAUAUUCGAUGUAAAUAUUGUCAUUAUUGUGCAUGCGGACUGGAGCAGAACUUUUCUAUACUACCAAAACGGAGGUACGAAUACAACUGUCAGCUGUUCACUCGGCUCUCUAUCCCAUGGGUAUCUUGCUCAGAUCUAGUGCGCCGCUAAUCGCGCUCCACUGCCAGCUUUGACGUAAAUAUCAACGCACGGAGGAUUUUCCGUAAUCCUCAUAAUAUCGUGAUAUCCUCGGAGCAUUUUCGGUUAUCAUUUGAUUGAUCGAUGGUGAUUGUGUAACGAAACAAGUCAGGUAAACACAGAAAAGUCGUUGGCGUUGAUCCUAAUAAAUACAAGACUAUCAAGGUUGCAAGUGAUGUUCACGUCUCCAAUCAGGCGGAUGUCUCUUUUCUGGAUGGAAUCCAGCAGCUUCAAGGUAUUCAUAGCGGCGGAACUCUAUACACGAGAACAAUACUCCAAAGAAGGUCUGAUCUGAGAUUAAUAAAGCAUCAAAAGUUGCUGGGGUGUUUAAAGUUUUCUGGUUCGGAACAGUUUUCCGUUGAUUACAUCUACCGCACAUUCGAAAAUUAUGAAAACAUUCACUAAGGAAACAUGAAUAAAAUGUCAAAAAAUA
Leptinotarsa decemlineata (Colorado potato beetle) is the source of this 814-nucleotide long non-coding RNA. Lineage: Eukaryota; Metazoa; Arthropoda; Insecta; Coleoptera; Chrysomelidae. The record is from RefSeq and is a predicted model, not a curated record.